ACGCUGAAGCCACAGUAGAGACACAUAUUUUUUUCUACAUAUAUAUUUUACAAAAAUCUAAAACGAAAAUAUAGAGGGAGCCAACAGAAAAUGAUUUCAAAAAUAGAUACAGAAAAGGAAGAGAUUCAGAAACACACAAUGGAGCAAAUACAUACACUACGCUAACGCAAUUCAGGCCUAGUACACUCGAAUCCAUGCUGAAAUCAAACCAACGAGAGGACUCGACGCGAGAUCUCCCCGCAACAUUACAACAAAUGGAUCCCCCACAAGCAGAAAAAAAAACAAGCCAUAAACGCUAGCACAGAUUUGUCUAUCCUAAAAGCUCAGAUUCCUCCGACCGGGCGGCAUUGCUCCCUGAACCCGAGCGAAGCAAAACCACCUCGGAGCGAGCACUCGAGCUCAAGGUGCGAGCGAGGCAACAGCGCGGCAGGCAUUGCGGCGAAUCGAGCGAGAGCAAACGCGGGGGAGAGAGGGUGGCGAGCCCAGAUCCGGGGCCAGGCAGAUCCGCACCUCGGGAG
This 518-nucleotide long non-coding RNA is filed under the name Sorghum bicolor (sorghum). RNAcentral's name for it is "long non-coding RNA (SBIC_LNC013487)". Lineage: Eukaryota; Viridiplantae; Streptophyta; Magnoliopsida; Poales; Poaceae. The record is from RNAcentral.